AGAGUUUGAUCAUGGCUCAGAUUGAACGCUGGCGGCAUGCUUUACACAUGCAAGUCGAACGGUAACAGGGAGCUUGCUCCGCUGACGAGUGGCGAACGGGUGAGUAAUGCAUCGGAACGUACCCAGUCGUGGGGGAUAACGUAGCGAAAGUUACGCUAAUACCGCAUACGUCCUGAGGGAGAAAGCGGGGGACCGAAAGGCCUCGCGCGAUUGGAGCGGCCGAUGUCGGAUUAGCUAGUUGGUAGGGUAAAGGCCUACCAAGGCGACGAUCCGUAGCGGGUCUGAGAGGAUGAUCCGCCACACUGGGACUGAGACACGGCCCAGACUCCUACGGGAGGCAGCAGUGGGGAAUUUUGGACAAUGGGCGCAAGCCUGAUCCAGCCAUGCCGCGUGAGUGAAGAAGGCCUUCGGGUUGUAAAGCUCUUUCAGGUGGAAAGAAAACGCAUGGGUCAAUACCCUGUGUGGAUGACGGUACCAUCAGAAGAAGCACCGGCUAACUACGUGCCAGCAGCCGCGGUAAUACGUAGGGUGCGAGCGUUAAUCGGAAUUACUGGGCGUAAAGCGUGCGCAGGCGGUGAUGUAAGACAGAUGUGAAAUCCCCGGGCUCAACCUGGGAACUGCGUUUGUGACUGCAUCACUCGAGUACGGCAGAGGGAGGUGGAAUUCCGCGUGUAGCAGUGAAAUGCGUAGAUAUGCGGAGGAACACCGAUGGCGAAGGCAGCCUCCUGGGCCAGUACUGACGCUCAUGCACGAAAGCGUGGGGAGCAAACAGGAUUAGAUACCCCGGUAGU
Molecule: ribosomal RNA, 791 nt
Filed under: uncultured bacterium
Lineage: Bacteria
Description: bacterial SSU rRNA
Rfam family: Bacterial small subunit ribosomal RNA
Source: RNAcentral